AGCCGAGCCGAGCCACCUAAGCCUUCUUUCCUCCACUUCGGUUCACGGUAGUACAGAGUUGACGCUUAAGUUCUCGGGUUCCGCGGCAGGCCUGGUUGGAGAUAGUUUCCUUUCCUUGGGUGGAUCUGUUGAGCGUAGAUUUCGAUCGAGG
Molecule: long non-coding RNA, 151 nt
Organism: Cucumis melo (muskmelon)
Lineage: Eukaryota; Viridiplantae; Streptophyta; Magnoliopsida; Cucurbitales; Cucurbitaceae
Exons: 3
Source: RefSeq, a predicted model, not a curated record